AAUCCUGUGCUGUAGCCCACAUGUCCGGGGCAGAUCGUGUGUUGACAGCGGUGGCACCAGCGCCUAAACGGACCGAAGUGACACAUGCAGUAGAUGUCACUGCAGUUCCACCACCAGCCAGGGGAGCAGGCGAAUUGCAAUGCAUCGUGGGACACCGACACCCGCAGAUAGAAGACUGCACCUAAGCCUAAACUGCUGGCAUCGGUUUUGACAAUGAAUGGAAGGGGAAAAGUCAGCAAAACCAAGUAGAGGAAAACUGCCUCUUUCCAGUCCACUGAAAAUUCCUCAUGGUCUGCCGAAAUGAGAAGUGCACCUUCUGGUUCUGGGCACCAACCACAAAUCUUCCUCGGACUGAAGCCAUGCUGAGAAAAUACUCCCCACAUCGUAUCACCACCAGACCUCCUCAGUAUCAGAAAAGAUCACUAAGGUCUGUGGACUUCUCUUGGAGUGCACAACAAGUGUUCGUCUGCUUGCUGAGAGAGGGCAAGGUCUUCUAACCAUAUGGCUUUAUUUCACUGUUCAGUAAACCACUGCCUGUGUGGAUUUACCCAUUCACUUGUGUUAAAGGUUUGAAGGACUGUAGCCUGACUAUAUAUAUAUCUUGCAUACUAAUUCAGUGCAAGUACACCAUGCUUGAGGAUAUACUUAACUACCAUACAGUGAUGUGAAGGGGGAUGUGUACAUGGCAAGGUGGGUUUUAAUGGUUGAAAGCAAAAACAGGGUGGGAGUUGAAAGCAGUAUCCCUGAUCGG
Long non-coding RNA from Xiphias gladius (swordfish), 751 nucleotides. RefSeq lists it as uncharacterized. The transcript is spliced from 5 exons. The record is from RefSeq and is a predicted model, not a curated record. Lineage: Eukaryota; Metazoa; Chordata; Actinopteri; Istiophoriformes; Xiphiidae.